This 84-nucleotide ribosomal RNA is filed under the name Stereum hirsutum FP-91666 SS1. RNAcentral's name for it is "5.8S ribosomal RNA". It matches the Rfam family "5.8S ribosomal RNA", at positions 71 to 154 of the family's 154-position model. Rfam says of the family: 5.8S ribosomal RNA (5.8S rRNA) is a component of the large subunit of the eukaryotic ribosome. It is transcribed by RNA polymerase I as part of the 45S precursor that also contains 18S and 28S rRNA. Functionally, it is thought that 5.8S rRNA may be involved in ribosome translocation. Lineage: Eukaryota; Fungi; Basidiomycota; Agaricomycetes; Russulales; Stereaceae. The record is from Rfam by way of RNAcentral.
AUUGCAGAAUUCAGUGAAUCAUCGAAUCUUUGAACGCACCUUGCGCCCUUUGGUAUUCCGAAGGGCACACCUGUUUGAGUGUCG